AUCCACUUACCGUUCCUUGGUUUGAACUAACGAUAGGUUUGUAUGUGGAGCGAUGUACGCCGGUGGCGUUUUCCUCGCAUACAAUGCCCUCGACGUGCCGUGCAAUCUCAUCCUUUCAUGCACGUCUACCCGAAGUGCUGCUGUGUUUUUGGUGGCUUUCAGUCCUGUACCGGAAUGUUGAGCUAUUAGUAUUUUAGUGUUCCGGUGUAUGAUUUCGACAGCGGGUCGGGUGUAGUUUCACUUUUAGUGGAUUUCCUUGUGUUUCCUGUAUUUGUUCUUGACGUGCCUUCUAGAGCGUCCAUUGUGUUCCAUGUAUGACAGUUUUACUCUGGAGUUGCGAAGUCCCCUUCGCUCGCUAUUGGUUUUUGUUUGUGCAGGUCCUAUGGUGUUGGGUUGUCUUUCCUUGUGAAAUCAUGUUCAAUGCCUCGAUGAUUUUUAAAAUUAAGUAGUGGUCUGAGAAUACUGAUGACGACAUCUCUAUGAGAGGCAAAGUUAUCUCGAUGCAGUCAAGGCGUAUGCCGCAUGUGGUAUCAUGAAUACAGAACACGGAGAGUUAUGCUUCUCAGUCCUCUGGUUGAUCCUUGUAGUUUUUAUCAGGUUAUGUAACGUUUUCUACUACCUUGGCCAUGGUGGUUUUUCCUAAUCCGAUUUUCCCUCACCGAGAUUUUGGAUUGGGAAAUUCACCUUGCCAACGUGGUGUACAACUUUAAGAUGACCCAUGAUACUAUGUUUGGUUCAGAAGGGUUCCUGCGUGGAUCGUGGUAUGCAUUGUUGUCACAUUCUGCGGUCAAGGUCGUUUUCCCUAUUCCGCCCAUAUCAUGUUAAAGUUUACACCUUUAACAAGGUAUGGGAGGUAUGGAAUGCGACCUUGGCGACAGCGGUGUCGUCAUGCGGUUUCGACGUUCGUCUCGUUCUUCGGUUUCGACGGCGGUAUACUUGUGGAUCUUCCCGAUCCAUUCAAGGGUGACCUGAUGAGUUGGAGGAAUAGGAUUUAAUAGUUUUUGAUUGUGCUCUUCCACACGGCUUUUGUUGGACCAAGUUGGGAGGUGGAUGAUUGACGUAUUUUUUAUUACGGAACUGGUGAACUUGUCUCCUGGAAGUUUUAGGAUGAGGAGGUUCGGAAGCAGGAUUAUCGUUCGAAAGCAGGAAUAUCAUCUUCCGCUUCUUGCUUUGUUGUACAGUACGGUGCCAUAAAUAAUAAAUUUUCGAGUGACACAUUUGGCUUCUAAUAUAC
This 1234-nucleotide non-coding RNA is filed under the name Apopellia endiviifolia. The record is from RNAcentral. Lineage: Eukaryota; Viridiplantae; Streptophyta; Jungermanniopsida; Pelliales; Pelliaceae.